This 468-nucleotide ribosomal RNA is filed under the name uncultured bacterium. RNAcentral describes it as "partial 16S ribosomal RNA". It matches the Rfam family "Bacterial small subunit ribosomal RNA", at positions 28 to 507 of the family's 1533-position model. The record is from RNAcentral.
GACGAACGCUGGCGGUGUGCUUAACACAUGCAAGUCGAACGGUAAGGCCCUUUCGGGGGUCCACGAGUGGCGAACGGGUGAGUAACACGUUAGUAACCUGCCCUCAUCUCUGGGAUAACAGUCGGAAACGGUUGCUAAUACUGGAUAUGAGCUUGCAAGGCAUCUUGUGGGUUGGAAAGAUUUUUUUUGGUUGGGGAUGGACUCGCGGCCUAUCAGCUUGUUGGUGAGGUAGUGGCUCACCAAGGCUUCGACGGGUAGCCGGCCUGAGAGGGCGACCGGCCACAUUGGGACUGAGAUACGGCCCAAACUCCUACGGGAGGCAGCAGUGGGGAAUAUUGCACAAUGGACGGAAGUCUGAUGCAGCAACGCCGCGUGCGGGAUGACGGCCUUCGGGUUGUAAACCGCUUUCAAUUGUGACGAAGCUUUUUUGUGACGGUAGCAGUAGAAGAAGCACCGGCUAACUACGUG